AGCCUACGGGGGGCAGCAGUGAGGAAUAUUGGUCAAUGGCCGGAAGGCUGAACCAGCCAAGCCGCGUGAAGGACGAAGGUGCCAAGCAUUGUAAACUUCUUUUGUCAAGGGACAAAAUCAGGCUCGAGAGCCUGACCGAGGGUACUUGAAGAAAAAGCAUCGGCUAACUCCGUGCCAGCAGCCGCGGUAAUACGGAGGAUGCGAGCGUUAUCCGGAUUUAUUGGGUUUAAAGGGUGCGCAGGCGGGAGAUCAAGUCAGCGGUAAAAUGUCGGGGCUCAACCCCGGCCGGCCGUUGAAACUGGUUU
Molecule: ribosomal RNA, 305 nt
Filed under: uncultured bacterium
Lineage: Bacteria
Description: bacterial SSU rRNA
Rfam family: Bacterial small subunit ribosomal RNA
Source: RNAcentral